UUUAUCCGUUUUGUAUUACCCAUAUCCAACAUGACCUGCCCGUUUGCCACCCCUAAUCCCAAUACAUAAAGAAGAUUUGAGCUGGUCAAUUUUUCAAAAAGCUAAUCCAUCCCAUGUCUCAAUGCAUAUGUAGUAAAGGCAACGGUAAUUACACUUUGUAUGAUCAGUUGGGCUAUGUAGUAAAGGCUUUCUUGGAUUGGAGAAAAGAAUCUAAAUGACCAAACCAGCCAAGUGAUCAUGUUAAUGGAAGAAUGUUGUACCAAUCCAACAUUAAGAUAAGAAUAAACACUAGAGACAAUUGGCCAUAAUCUUCAACAAAUUACUAGCACUUCACACUAGCUAAACGUUUCUUCAACUUUGGCUUUUUCAAUUUCUUCACGUAAUUCCUUUUCCCAUGUCUAUUUUUUCUUGUUGAUUUGUUGUUCAUCAAAUCCUUCACCCAUCAACAAUGAAAUUUCUUUUUCUGUUUCAGAUCCAAAGUCCUUUUUAUAUUUUCUCUUUGGCCCUGUAACGUUAACUUUGCUUGUUUUAUCCCUUCAAACAAUUCCUUUUUCCACAUCUCUUUAUUCUUGAAAUUGCUCUGUUGGAAGCAAGCCAUUAGAGAAUAAAAACUUUGGGCAGAGAAAGAAAAAUAUAUAGAGAAUGAGAGAAUAAUAAUACUGAGAAGCAAUUUGGGCAGAGAAAGAGAAUGAGAGAAUAGUAAUAACAGUGAGGAGCAGCUUUGGGCAGAGAAAGAAAAGUAUAUAUAGACAAUGCUUUCCCUGAUUGACACUCUUUCCUAUUCCUAUCAUCUAUAGGAAAGGAAAUUUUGUAGGAAGGCUAAAGUCAAUAACGUUUCGGAAAUUUGUUUAACCAAAAUUGUUACAAUUUUAUGUUUAAUUUUGUGUCAAAUCUCAAGAGAUCUUAAUUUUCACAGGUAAGAAAUCCAAAAAUUAAAUACAAGAUAUCUUUGCUCAGCCAUUUUCUUCUAAUCAAAGCGUAAAAAGUCAUAUUGAACCAUUUCUUUUAAGGUGACACCUUGACGUUGUCAUGUUUUACCAAAUAUUAUUUUUUGGCAAUUAAAGAAAUUUUAAUAAUUACCGAGUAGCUGUACAAAACGAGGGCAAAACAAACUAGUUCACGCCCCUCUCAAAAAAACUGUAUCCUAUGCAACUAGAAGCCUUAAAAACAUUUACCAAAUAUUAUUCAGAUGUCCUAAAUGGUAAUUCAGUUGAAUCUUAACCUUUGACUAGUGUAUUUUUACAAACUUAAACGUGAUUAUACAGAAGUCGAAAAUUUUCAGAAACAAAAAGAUCGCCUGCCUGAAAGAUGGCUGCUCCUAGUAUGCAAUUCAAAGAGUGCCAGCUCCCCCUUCUAUUUGUGAUCUUAAGUACCUAAUUAACCAUAGCAUUACUAAGCAAGGAAGAAAAAAAGUACUUAAUAAGUUUCGACUUUAAAUAAUUUCACUUCAAAAUAGUUCAAGGAGUAAUAGGAUCACUGCAAAGUAAAGGUAUGUAACUCAAAAUCCAGAUCGAGUUCAAGGGGGUUUUUUAUGCUUUUUUCCUAACAUUUAGUAAAACUUGGAGAAGUAUCCAAAACUAUCACCACGAGUAUCAUUUUCUUUAUCAGACUGAGCUGAUUAAAAAGAGUUAUACCAUAAGUAACCAGAAACUAUCACCAUAAGUAUGACUAGAACAAUUAAAUAAGAAAAAAUGGACCUGACAACUAUUCCAAUACAUAAAGAAGACUUGAGCUGGUCAAUUUCUCAAAGCUAAUCCAUCCCAUGUCUCUGUCUAAGCUACAAGUGUACUCGCUGUGGUAGACUCACUGCAUAUAAGAAACAUUCACAAUCAGCAAUGGCAAGGAGAACACUAACCAGGAAUUACACUUUGUAUGAUCAGUUGGGCUACUGGAACCAUGUAGUAAAGGCUUUCUUGGAUAGGAAAAAAGAAAAAUAAAUACAAAAUGAAUGGAUAAACGACGUCCGUAGAGAUUUCAGAAUAAUGUACAUCUCCCCGUCCCAUUUAAGUGCCCUGCAUUCUAGUGUUAAGAUUAAAGUUUAAACUUCGAGAAAUUUAAGAAAAAGUUGAUUUACAAUUCAAGACUACAAAUUCAACUUCCCUUCAAAUGUACUUCCUGCAGCACAACAUUGAGAAGAUACUGGUAAGUGUAGGGAAAUUACAUUUUGUUUCAAGAAAGUGACAAAAUUUCGGCACUAGCUCAUUAAUUAGCAGAGAAUCAAGGAAAGGUUUGCAUUUCAAAGAUGGUUCUAAUAGUCCUAAGUCCAACAGAUUAUAUUUGAAAUGGUGUAUGGAUCAGGAAGAGAGUCUAGCAGCAAUGCAAUCCAAAGAUGCUAUACAGCAUAGCUCAUACUGAACGAUUACUAAACUAAAAGUUAUAGCCUAUAUGGACUACUCGAGUCUAAUUAGUUUUGGAAUGUAACCUUACUUGGGUCAAAUAAGAACAAGUGGCUCAAGAACUACACGAUGCCUCAAGGUUAUGGAAACUGGAAAGGACAAAAUAUAAGUUCCUGGGAGAAGCCAUCGGCACAACAAGUUGUGUAAGACAAGUUGUGUAAGAACUAGGGGUAGCAAAAUGGUUCAAAGAAAACAGUUAACCACCCAUAUUAUCCAUUAAA
Molecule: long non-coding RNA, 2617 nt
Filed under: Nicotiana tabacum (common tobacco)
Lineage: Eukaryota; Viridiplantae; Streptophyta; Magnoliopsida; Solanales; Solanaceae
Description: long non-coding RNA (NTAB_LNC010880)
Source: RNAcentral